GGCGAACGCUGGCGGCUUGCUUAACACAUGCAAGUCGAACGGAAAGGCCCUGCUUUUGUGGGGUGCUCGAGUGUCGAACGGGUGAGUAACACGUGAGUAACCUGCCCUUGACUUUGGGAUAACUUCAGGAAACUGGGGCUAAUACCGGAUAGGAGCUCCUGCUGCAUGGUGGGGGUUGGAAAGUUUCGGCGGUUGGGAAUGGACUCGCGGCUUAUCAGCUUGUUGGUGGGGUAGUGGCUUACCAAGGCUUUUACGGGUAGCCGGCCUGAGAGGUUGACCGGCCAGAGUGGGACUGAGGUACGGCACAGACUCCUACGGGAGAGAGGAGUGGGGAAUAUUGCACAAUGGGCGGAAGCCUGAGGCAGCAACGCCGCGAGCGGGAUGACGGCCUUGGGGUUGUAAACCGCUUUCGCCUGUGACGAGGCGUGAGUGACGGUAAGGGGUAAAGAAGCACCGGCUAACUACGUG
RNAcentral lists this ribosomal RNA (468 nucleotides) under uncultured bacterium. RNAcentral's name for it is "partial 16S ribosomal RNA". It matches the Rfam family "Bacterial small subunit ribosomal RNA", at positions 28 to 507 of the family's 1533-position model. The record is from RNAcentral.